Long non-coding RNA from Gossypium raimondii (Peruvian cotton), 2268 nucleotides. RefSeq lists it as uncharacterized. The record is from RefSeq and is a predicted model, not a curated record. The transcript has 4 exons. NCBI's taxonomy places the organism in Eukaryota, Viridiplantae, Streptophyta, Magnoliopsida, Malvales, Malvaceae.
UUUCAUUUCAAAUUCCCGCUAAAAAUCCCUUCUGAAAUUUUGCUCAAAUGCUUUUUAAACUUUUUCAUCUUCCUUUUAAUUGUUUAUUCCAUCAACUCGUCUCGAAGUCUCAAACCGAUUCAAUAGCAGUGAGUUGACUUAGCAGCCGCUUAUUUCCGUAUGGGGAUGGAAACGAAGGAUGAGUUCACGACUCAUGAGCCAGAGCAGGCCCAAGUGGGAUCUCGAGGACCGAGGUUAGUAAUUAACGAGAUGGUGAUGAGGAACUUCAAGUCUUAUGCCAGUGAGCAGCGCGUCGGUCCCUUUCACAAGGUUAUAUUUUCUUUUAUCGUUUAAUUUUUAUAGUUUUUAUUUGGUUUCUAGUAAAGUUUGGAAAUUGAGAAGGAAAAUUGCAAAAUUUAUGUAAUAAUUUCGCGGACUCAACUUGGAAAUUGAGAAGGAAAAAAUGAAGAACUGAGAAGGAAAUUAAAAAUUGCAUGACUUCAACUCGAAUAGCUUUCUUUUUUUUUCUCCUCUUUGUUGUAAUUUUAACGGUUUCCUUUUGGUUACUGAGAAAGCACUGGAAACCGAGAAAGAAAAUUGCAGAUUGAUGAAAUUAUCUCAAAUUUAUAUUUUCGAUUACUUUUUUUUUUCAUAGUUAGAUGUAGAAAGUAAGCUUUUAGUUAGUUUGUUAGUAGUCUAACUCCUGCUUGGUUGCCAAGAAAAAAAAAUGUAAAAUGAGAAAGAAAAUAAAAAUGAUAUGAUAAUUGCACGAAUUGAAUUUGAGAUAAUUUAUUUUUUCUGUUAUCAGUGUUUCCUUCUUCUGGUUGCGAGAAAGAGGUGGAAAAUUGAGUGGGAAGUUGCUAGUCUAUAUGAAAAGUUCUAAAAUUUAACUCAAAUUAAAAGUAACAAGAAGUUUACAUGACUUGUGUUAAGCAUCCAACCUAAAACCAAUUGGCUAUAAGUGGAAGGGCCUGAUUUAAUGUAUUUAAUGGGUGCUCGAAGUCAAACAAAUUUAUUUAAGGUAGCUGAGAUCCAACCAACUCCAGCCUUAAAAAACAGAAAGAAAAAAGAACAGAAGAGAUUUUUUGACCCUGUUCUGGUUAGCUGUUAUGAGAUUCUUGCAGGUUCUUCAAAUGCAAUUGCAAAUUUUGAUAGUAAUAUACUGCUAACAGAAGCCUGCAACUAGAAAGACAAGGAGCAUGUCGAGAUUCUCAUUUCAGUGACUGUGCUUCUAUUUGCAACAAUAAUGAAAAAUUUAAAGGUGCGUGCAGUUCGCUGUGACAAUGGAGAAAAGACUGAUAUCUCUAGAGUCUUUUUGGUUGAACAAGUAAAAGGAAUGUUGGAUAAGAUUCAACAGAACCUAUUCGAUGUGGCAAAACAAAAAGAGAUGCCUGCAUUGAAGUUGUAAAACGUGGGAUGAGUUUGUAAAACCUGUAUUUUGUUAGGCAACAACAUGAGCUGGAUCAUAUUCUAAUCUCUCGAGGCAUAUGUAGCUCAUUUUUCUUAAAUGAUGUUUUAUGUUUUGUAUAUAUAAGAGGUGGAGAAAGAUGUGAAAGCUCGAACAAGGGGUGAGAUGGGAGCAGCUAAGUCUCUUUGUACCCCAUUCGAACAACCUGAACUCUCAGAAGCACGAGUAAGCAAGCAACAUAAGUUAUUCAGCUGAAGGAUUAGGAUCAACUUUGCUACUUAGUAUGUACGAAGGUGAGACACCGUUUAAGGAAAGAUCAUGGGAUUGAUGGUGGAAUUCCUGUUGUUUUCUCUUUAGAGAAACCUAAAGCUCAGCUGCUUCCUUUUAGAAGACCAAGUGGUGAGGAAGACAACCCUUCAGAUUAUCAAGUGAGGAUGUUUGCUUCUUACUUUUGCAGUUUUAAAGUACUCUGUUUGAUCACCUAACAUCAUGCAGUGGGGAAAUUCAUCCAAUAUAUUGAAGCAGAAUUUGAAAUGAGAAUUGAAAGUACAUUUGGAUGGAGCUAAAGUUGUGUUUCUUUUAGCAAUAUAUUUGAACUUGCUGGUGUUAGGUCCCUGGUUUUUGCUAUCUCUAGAUUUAAGGGUAGAAGGAAAAGGAAAAUAUUUAGGUCUACAUUAGUAUGUAAUCUACAUGUUUAAUCCAACAAUUUAAUGUGUUAUUCUGCUGUCAGUUAGUACCUGGGCAGGUUCAACAAUUUAAUGCAUUGUAUUUUUUAUUAGCUUGCAAUGUGUAUAGUCAUAGGAGGUUCAACUAGUCAGUUUGUUUUUCAAAUGUAUUAUUUAUUUUAGUUUUGAUUCUAAAUUUUUAUUUUUACUUUAAUA